GACGAACGCUGGCGGCGUGCUUAACACAUGCAAGUCGAACGGAAAGGCCCUGCUUGCAGGGUACUCGAGUGGCGAACGGGUGAGUAACACGUGGGUGAUCUGCCCUGCACUUCGGGAUAAGCCUGGGAAACUGGGUCUAAUACCGGAUAGGAGCCAUUUUUAGUGUGAUGGUUGGAAAGUUUUUUCGGUGUAGGAUGAGCUCGCGGCCUAUCAGCUUGUUGGUGGGGUAAUGGCCUACCAAGGCGGCGACGGGUAGCCGGCCUGAGAGGGUGGACGGCCACAGUGGGACUGGGAUACGGCCCAGACUCCUACGGGAGGCAGCAGUGGGGAAGAUUGCACAAUGGGCGCAAGCCUGAUGCAGCGACGCCGCGUGGGGGAUGACGGCCUUCGGGUUGUAAACUCCUAUCGCUAGGGACGAAGCUGUUUGUGACGGUACCUAGAUAAGAAGCACCGGCUAACUACGUG
This 465-nucleotide ribosomal RNA is filed under the name uncultured bacterium. RNAcentral describes it as "partial 16S ribosomal RNA". It matches the Rfam family "Bacterial small subunit ribosomal RNA", at positions 28 to 507 of the family's 1533-position model. The record is from RNAcentral.